AUGCCAACGUAGACAUGGCAGACGUGGGUCAAAGUGUAGUAUCUGUUCUUACCAGCUUAAUACCUGAUAGAGGUUCUAUUUGAAAGUAAGAUAUGAAACUUACUUUUUCCAAAUUGGCGUAGUGGUCAAAUCCUGUUUGACCUCCGCUGUGCGUCGGCCCGGUACUGCAGUACCUUCUGGAUUGUCCUAUGACUG
RNAcentral lists this small nuclear RNA (195 nucleotides) under Dermacentor andersoni. RNAcentral's name for it is "U2 spliceosomal RNA". It matches the Rfam family "U2 spliceosomal RNA". From Rfam's summary of the family: U2 is a small nuclear RNA (snRNA) component of the spliceosome (involved in pre-mRNA splicing). The record is from RNAcentral. Lineage: Eukaryota; Metazoa; Arthropoda; Arachnida; Ixodida; Ixodidae.